GACGAACGCUGGCGGCGUGCUUAACACAUGCAAGUCGAACGGAAAGGCCUCUUUCGGGGGGUACUCGAGUGGCGAACGGGUGAGUAACACGUGAGUAACCUGCCCUUGACUUUGGGAUAACUUCAGGAAACUGGGGCUAAUACCGGAUAGGAGCUCCUGCUGCAUGGUGGGGGUUGGAAAGUUUCGGCGGUUGGGGAUGGACUCGCGGCUUAUCAGCUUGUUGGUGGGGUAGUGGCUUACCAAGGCUUUGACGGGUAGCCGGCCUGAGAGGGUGACCGGCCACAUUGGGACUGAGAUAGGGCCCAGACUCCUACGGGAGGCAGCAGUGGGGAAUAUUGCACAAUGGGUGGAAGCCUGAUGCAGCAACGCCGUGUGCGGGAUGACGGCCUUCGGGUUGUAAACCGCUUUCGCUCAUGACGAAGCUUUGUGUGACGGUAGUGGGUAAAGAAGCACCGGCUAACUACGUG
RNAcentral lists this ribosomal RNA (467 nucleotides) under uncultured bacterium. RNAcentral's name for it is "partial 16S ribosomal RNA". It matches the Rfam family "Bacterial small subunit ribosomal RNA", at positions 28 to 507 of the family's 1533-position model. The record is from RNAcentral.